Molecule: ribosomal RNA, 468 nt
Filed under: uncultured bacterium
Lineage: Bacteria
Description: partial 16S ribosomal RNA
Rfam family: Bacterial small subunit ribosomal RNA
Source: RNAcentral
GACGAACGCUGGCGGCGUGCUUAACACAUGCAAGUCGAACGGAAAGGCCCGGCUCUUGUGGGGUGCUCGAGUGGCGAACGGGGGAGUAACACGUGAGUAACCUGCCCUUGACUUUGGGAGAACUUCAGGAAACUGGGGCGAAUACCGGAGAGGAGCUCCUGCUGCACGGUGGGGGUUGGAAAGUUUCGGCGGUUGGGGAUGGACUCGCGGCUUAUGAGCUUGUUGGUGGGGUAGUGGCUUACCAAGGCUUUGACGGGUAGCCGGCCUGAGAGGGUGACCGGCCACAUUGGGACUGAGAUACGGACCAGAAUCCUACGGGAGGCAGCAGUGGGGAAUAUUGCACAAUGGGCGGAAGCCUGAUGCAGCAACGCCGCGUGCGGGAUGACGGCCUUCGGGUUGUAAACCGCUUUCGCCUGUGACGAAGCGUGAGUGACGGUAAUGGGUAAAGAAGCACCGGCUAACUACGUG